RNAcentral lists this ribosomal RNA (468 nucleotides) under uncultured bacterium. RNAcentral's name for it is "partial 16S ribosomal RNA". It matches the Rfam family "Bacterial small subunit ribosomal RNA", at positions 28 to 507 of the family's 1533-position model. The record is from RNAcentral.
GACGAACGCUGGCGGCGUGCUUAACACAUGCAAGUCGAACGGAAAGGCCCUGCUUUUGUGGGGUGCUCGAGUGGCGAACGGGUGAGUAACACGUGAGUAACCUGCCCUUGACUUUGGGAUAACUUCAGGAAACUGGGGCUAAUCCCGGAUAGGAGCUCCUGCUGCAUGGUGGGGGUUGGAAAGUUUCGGCGGGUGGGGAUGGACUAGCGGCUUAUCAGCUUGUUGGUGGGGUAGUGGCUUACCAAGGCUGUGACGGGUAGCCGGCCUGAGAGGGUGACCGGCCACAUUGGGACUGAGAUACGGCCCAGACUCCUACGGGAGGCAGCGGGGGGGAAUAUUGCACAAUGGGCGGAAGCCUGAGGCGGCAACGCCGCGUUCGGGAAGACGGCCUUCGGGUUGUAAACCGCUUUCGCCUGUGACGAAGCGUGAGUGACGGUAAUGGGUAAAGAAGCACCGGCUAACUACGUG